Molecule: RNA transcript, 3528 nt
Organism: Rosa rugosa (rugosa rose)
Lineage: Eukaryota; Viridiplantae; Streptophyta; Magnoliopsida; Rosales; Rosaceae
Gene name: putative pentatricopeptide repeat-containing protein At1g13630
Exons: 6
Source: RefSeq, a predicted model, not a curated record
UUGCCCCAGACAUCCAAACUUAGCCUGCAAAAAAAACUCCUCUCUUUCAUAACCACAACCCUUCAAAAUUGCCGGGAAGCCAACGGCUCCCUAAAACCCUAAACCUCCCACACCCAGUCUUCCUCACUAAAGCUUCCAUCUUUGAUGUACUCUCUCUUUCCUCAUACCUCUCCACACUCAGAUUUUCCACUUCCUUGGAUUCAAACACUCCCUGAGCCCCCUUUUGCUUAAACCCUAAUCCCCAAUUUCCAUGCUCAAUCACAUCCAUAAAUGGAAGAAGCCCAUCCAUUUUCUUCAAAAAUUUCGAACCCUCUCUUCCCUCAUCUUCACUAAAUCCUCAGCCUUUGCCGCAAAGCCCACCGCCGGCCCAAGCAGCACGAUCAAUGUCUCCGAACUCAUCACCGGCCUGAGAAUCUUGGGUUUGGGUCGAAUUAACGGUGACCAUUACUAUAGGAAUAUUAUUUCGACUUUGAAUCAGACCCAGGUGGAUAUUAUUAUCGAAAGGUUGAGCCUUGAGGACCCUGAAUCGGGUUUCGGUUUCUUCAAUUUGUUGAGGAAUGAGUACGGUUUUCGGCCUUCAAGGGUUUCGAGUUUCGCAGUUUCUCAUGUUUUAGCGGCGAAAAGGUGGUUUGAGGAGUUGCGUUUGGUUAUGAAGAAAAUGGUGGAGGAGGAAGGUUCUGGUACUGCAACAUCACUGUGUGAGCUGCUAUUGAGUAGAUUUAGGGACUGGGACUCGAGUGGUGUAGUGUGGGAUGUUUUGGCGUUUUCUUAUUCGAGAAGUGACAUGGUUUAUGAUGCCCUGACUGUUCUUGCUAAGAUGAAAGAUCUGGAUUUGAAAGUUUCCACGGCAACGUAUAAUUGCUUGUUGCAUAAUUUAAGGCACACGGAUAUCAUGUGGAAUGUGUAUGAUGAAAUUAAGGACAGUGGAACUCCUCAGAGUGAGUACACUACUUCUAUACUUAUAGAUGGACUGUGUGAGCAAGCCAGCAUACGAGAUGCAGUUUCGUUUCUCUUGGAUGCUCAAAGGAAGGAGAAUGGGCCUUCAGUUGUUCCAUUUAAUACCAUUAUGUCGAGGUUCUGUAAAUUGGGUUUUGUGGAUAUUGCCAAGUCGUUUUUUUGUAUGAUAUUCAAGUAUGGACUACUUCCUGAUUCGUACAGUUAUAAUAUUCUUAUUCAUGGGCUGUGUGUAGCAGGUUCUUUGGAAGAAGCUUUGGAGUUUACAAAAGACAUGGAGAGGCAUGGGCUACACCCUGACACAGUGACCUAUAAUAUUCUUUGUAAAGGUUUUCGUCUUCUUGGUUUAAUGACUGGAGCUCAGCAGGUCAUUCAGAAAAUGUUGGUUAAAGGGUUAAAUCCUGAUCAUGUUACAUAUACAAUUCUAAUAUGUGGGCACUGCCAUUCUGGGAAUAUUGAGGAAGCCCUUAAGCUGCGGGAAGAGAUGCUUUCAAGGGGUUUUCAAUUGAGUGUCAUUUUGUAUAGUGUACUGCUUAGCAGUUUGUGUAAAAGUGGACGAAUAGAAGAAGCAUUGAGAUUGCAUUAUGAGAUGGAAGCUGUUGGCUUGGAACCAGAUCUUAUAACAUGUUCUAUUCUCAUUCAUGGCCUAUGCAAGCAAGGAAGUGUUCAAAGGGCUAUUGAAAUAUAUAGAGAAAUGUACUUGAAGAGAAUACUUCCCCAUUACUCUGCACACCGUGCUAUUCUUUUAGGUCUGCGCGAGAAAGGAGAUAUAUCUGAGGCAAGGAAGUAUUUUGAUACUCUAGCAACAAUCACAGAGGAUAUUGUUUUGUAUAAUAUUAUGAUGGAUGGAUAUGUAAAACUUGGUAAUAUUGCAGCAGCCUUACAGUUAUAUGAACAAGCAGUUGAAAAAGGAAUAACUCCUAGUGUUGUCACUUUCAAUACGCUUAUGUAUGGUUUCUGCAACAGUGGAAAACUAGUUGAGGCCCAACAGAUGUUGAAUACCAUUGAACUGCAUGGAAUGCUACCCAGUCCAGUUACCUAUACGACUCUUAUGAAUGGUUACUGUGGACAGGGAAACAUUCAUGGGAUGCUUGAAUUGCUCCGGGAGAUGAAAGCAAAAGCUGUAGAUCCAACUCAUGUAACUUAUACUGUAAUUAUCAAGGGACUCUGCAGACAGAGGAAGCUGCAAGAGGCUGUCCACGUAGUUGAGAAAAUGUAUGCUAAGGACCUAGCCCCAGAUCAGAUCACAUAUAAUACCAUCAUUCAAUGUUUCUGCAGAGCUCGAGACUUGAAGAAAGCUUUUCAGUUGCACAAUGAGAUGUUAAUGCAUAAUCUCGAGCCUACUCCUGUUACAUAUAAUGUUCUCAUCAAUGGUCUUUGUGUAUAUGGUGACCUGAAUGAUGCUGACAGGCUAUUGGUUUUUCUUGACGACCACAACAUCAAUCUAAGAAAAGUUGCUUAUACCACAUUAAUCAAAGCACAUUGUGCAAAGGGUUAUGCCCUUAGAGCAGUGGAGCUCUUCGAUCAGAUGGUGGAGAAAGGAUUUGAAAUCUCCAUAAGAGAUUAUAGUGCUGUAAUUAAUAGAUUAUGCAAAAGGUCUCUAAUAACUGAAGCAAAAUAUUUUUUCUGUAUGAUGCUAUCUGAUGGGAUAUCUCCUGAUCAUGAGCUUUGUAAGGUGAUGCUCAAUGCUUUCUGUCAAGAUGGUGAUUCAAGUUCAGUAUAUGAACUCCUUGCUGAGAUGAUCAAAUCUGGCAUUCUUCCUGAUUAAUCCAUGGAAAGGUGAUAUUGCUUAGCCUCUGGCUAUUGGAAAAAGUUGUUCACUGGCUCAUAAAAAAGGUUCAAGCCACGAGCGCUCAGGCCCACCCUAUAUCCUUCCAGACAAGGUUCUUCAAGAGAUGCAAAGAAGUGAAAUCUCAGCUGGGAUAAACUGCAGCUUUUGUUUCUGGCAUUUUCCUAAGAUGUGACUUUAAACUUUAAAGACAACUCCAGGAGCUAGCAAAGCUUAGAUAAAAAGCGUUCCUGACAGAUGGAGUUGAAACUGGUUCAAAAGCAUCUUUCCAAAUCGUUUUAUUCCCUCUGAAAAUGAGUUCUCAUCCUACUUGCUGAUUAUAACUCAGGAGUCAGGACUCAGGAGCAAGGGAUAAAUUGCUAGUCAACAGUCAUGCAUGUCUCUGUCUCAUGCCUUCCGGAAAGGCACCUACUUGAGUUCCGCUUGAAUGAUUUUCUCCAUGACCAUAUGGUUGGGGUUGAUUUUCAAUAUUAUAGAAAGAAGAUGUGAGGUCGGCUUCUUCUCAAAACAAUCAAACAUAUAUGGCUUGCUUGCCCCUUAAAAUCAUGGCCAAACCUGGAAAGAAUGGUGAAUUGAGUCACCAUGUCUCCUCACUUCAUCAUGCUCUCCUCAUCAGCAAGAACAUAGCAGUUACUUCAUGCAAAUGUAGUCUGAAUUUUAUAUUGUUCACCGAAAUGUAAUAACAAUUUGCUGGACUUUGUUAGAUGUCUUUCGCCACAAACUUAAUAGGUGCUUAUUGUGGUUGUAGUUGUACAGGAUAGUUCGUAAAAUGAAAGAAACCAUUG